Molecule: ribosomal RNA, 428 nt
Filed under: Gemmatimonadota bacterium
Lineage: Bacteria; Pseudomonadati; Gemmatimonadota
Description: Gemmatimonadetes bacterium partial 16S ribosomal RNA
Rfam family: Bacterial small subunit ribosomal RNA
Source: RNAcentral
UAGGGAAUCUUCGGCAAUGGACGAAAGUCUGACCGAGCAACGCCGCGUGAGUGAAGAAGGUUUUCGGAUCGUAAAACUCUGUUGUUAGAGAAGAACAAGGACGUUAGUAACUGAACGUCCCCUGACGGUAUCUAACCAGAAAGCCACGCUAACUACGUGCCAGCAGCCGCGGUAAUACGUAGGUGGCAAGCGUUGUCCGGAUUUAUUGGGCGUAAAGCGAGCGCAGGCGGUUUCUUAAGUCUGAUGUGAAAGCCCCCGGCUCAACCGGGGAGGGUCAUUGGAAACUGGGAGACUUGAGUGCAGAAGAGGAGAGUGGAAUUCCAUGUGUAGCGGUGAAAUGCGUAGAUAUAUGGAGGAACACCAGUGGCGAAGGCGGCUCUCUGGUCUGUAACUGACGCUGAGGCUCGAAAGCGUGGGGAGCAAACAGG